CCUACGGGUGGCAGCAGUGAGGAAUAUUGGUCAAUGGACGCAAGUCUGAACCAGCCAUGCCGCGUGCAGGAAGACGGCUCUAUGAGUUGUAAACUGCUUUUGUACGAGGGUAAACGCAGAGACGUGUAUCUGUCUGAAAGUACUGUACGAAUAAGGAUCGGCUAACUCCGUGCCAGCAGCCGCGGUAAUACGGAGGAUUCAAGCGUUAUCCGGAUUGAUUGGGUGUAAAGGGUGCGUAGGCGGUAGGAUAAGUUAGAGGUGAAAUGCAGAGGCUCAACUUCGGAAUUGCCUGUGAUACUGUUAGGCUAGAGAGUAGUUGAGGUAGGCGGAAUGUAUGGUGUAGCGGUGAAAUGCUUAGAGAGCAUACAGAACACCGAUUGCGAAGGCAGCUUACCGAGCUACUUCUGACGUUGAGGCACGAAAGCGUGGGGAGCAAACAGGAUUAGAUACCCGAGUAGUC
RNAcentral lists this ribosomal RNA (460 nucleotides) under uncultured bacterium. RNAcentral describes it as "partial 16S ribosomal RNA". It matches the Rfam family "Bacterial small subunit ribosomal RNA", at positions 338 to 795 of the family's 1533-position model. The record is from RNAcentral.